AUUGAACGCUGGCGGCAGGCCUAACACAUGCAAGUCGAGCGGAUGAAGGGAGCUUGCUCCUGGAUUCAGCGGCGGACGGGUGAGUAAUGCCUAGGAAUCUGCCUGGUAGUGGGGGAUAACGUCCGUAAACGGGCGCUAAUACCGCAUACGUCCUGAGGGAGAAAGUGGGGGAUCUUCGGACCUCACGCUAUCAGAUGAGCCUAGGUCGGAUUAGCUAGUUGGUGGGGUAAGGGCCUACCAAGGCGACGAUCCGUAACUGGUCUGAGAGGAUGAUCAGUCACACUGGAACUGAGACACGGUCCAGACUCCUACGGGAGGCAGCAGUGGGGAAUAUUGGACAAUGGGCGAAAGCCUGAUCCAGCCAUGCCGCGUGUGUGAAGAAGGUCUUCGGAUUGUAAAGCACUUUAAGUUGGGAGGAAGAGCAGUAAGUUAAUACCUUGCUGUUUUGACGUUACCAACAGAAUAAGCACCGGCUAACUUCGUG
This 484-nucleotide ribosomal RNA is filed under the name uncultured bacterium. RNAcentral's name for it is "partial 16S ribosomal RNA". It matches the Rfam family "Bacterial small subunit ribosomal RNA", at positions 30 to 507 of the family's 1533-position model. The record is from RNAcentral.